GGACGAACGCUGGCGGCGUGCCUAACACAUGCAAGUCGAGCGAGGAGAUCCUUCGGGAUGAUCCUAGCGGCGGACGGGUGAGUAACACGUGGGCAACCUGCCUCAUAGAGAGGAAUAGCCUUCCGAAAGGGAGAUUAAUACCUCAUAACAUUGCAGUUUCGCAUGGAACAGCAAUUAAAGGAGUAAUCCGCUAUGAGAUGGGCCCGCGGCGCAUUAGCUAGUUGGUGAGGUAAUGGCUCACCAAGGCGACGAUGCGUAGCCGACCUGAGAGGGUGAUCGGCCACAUUGGGACUGAGACACGGCCCAGACUCCUACGGGAGGCAGCAGUGGGGAAUAUUGCACAAUGGGGGAAACCCUGAUGCAGCCAACGCCGCGUGAGUGAUGACGGCCUUCGGGUUGUAAAGCUCUGUCUUCAGGGACGAUAAUGACGGUACCUGAGGAGGAAGCCACGGCUAACUACGUGCCAGCAGCUGC
RNAcentral lists this ribosomal RNA (474 nucleotides) under uncultured bacterium. Its description in RNAcentral is "bacterial SSU rRNA". It matches the Rfam family "Bacterial small subunit ribosomal RNA", at positions 27 to 518 of the family's 1533-position model. The record is from RNAcentral.